CGGGGGAGCAAGCGUUGUUCGGAUUUACUGGGCGUAAAGGGCGCGUAGGCGGUCAGCACAAGUCAGUUGUGAAAUCUCCGGGCUUAACUCGGAACGGUCAACUGAUACUGUGCGACUAGAGUGCAGAAGGGGCAACUGGAAUUCUCGGUGUAGCGGUGAAAUGCGUAGAUAUCGAGAGGAACACCUGCGGCGAAGGCGGGUUGCUGGGCUGACACUGACGCUGAGGCGCGAAAGCCAGGGGAGCGAACGGGAUUAGAUACCCCGGUAGUCCUGGCCUUAAACGAUGGAUGCUUGGUGUCUGGAGUUAUAUAGUCUCCGGGUGCCGCAGCUAACGCGUUAAGCAUCCCGCCUGGGGAGUACGGUCGCAAGACUG
RNAcentral lists this ribosomal RNA (373 nucleotides) under uncultured organism. Its description in RNAcentral is "bacterial SSU rRNA". It matches the Rfam family "Bacterial small subunit ribosomal RNA", at positions 527 to 896 of the family's 1533-position model. The record is from RNAcentral.